This 301-nucleotide ribosomal RNA is filed under the name uncultured bacterium. Its description in RNAcentral is "partial 16S ribosomal RNA". It matches the Rfam family "Bacterial small subunit ribosomal RNA", at positions 509 to 807 of the family's 1533-position model. The record is from RNAcentral.
CAGCCGCCACGGGAAUACGUAGGGUGCAAGCGUUAAUCGGAAUUACUGGGCGUAAAGCGUGCGCAGGCGGUUAUAUAAGACAGAUGUGAAAUCCCCGGGCUCAACCUGGGAACUGCAUUUGUGACUGUAUAGCUAGAGUACGGCAGAGGGGGAUGGAAUUCCGCGUGUAGCAGUGAAAUGCGUAGAUAUGCGGAGGAACACCGAUGGCGAAGGCAAUCCCCUGGGCCUGUACUGACGCUCAUGCACGAAAGCGUGGGGAGCAAACAGGAUUAGAGACCCCUGUAGUCCCUGUCUCUUAUAC